CCUACGGGUGGCAGCAGUGAGGAAUAUUGGUCAAUGGCCGUAAGCCUGAACCAGCCAAGUCGCGUGAAGGAAGAAGGAUCUAUGGUUUGUAAACUUCUUUUAUAGGGGAAUAAAGGUAUCCACGUAUGGAUAUUUGCAUGUACCGUAUGAAUAAGGAUCGGCUAACUCCGUGCCAGCAGCCGCGGUAAUACGGAGGAUCCGAGCGUUAUCCGGAUUUAUUGGGUUUAAAGGGAGCGUAGGUGGAUUGUUAAGUCAGUUGUGAAAGUUUGCGGCUCAACCGUAAAAUUGCAGUUGAAACUGGCAGUCUUGAGUACAGUAGAGGUGGGCGGAAUUCGUGGUGUAGCGGUGAAAUGCUUAGAUAUCACGAAGAACUCCGAUUGCGAAGGCAGUUCACUGGACUGUAACUGACACUGAGGCUCGAAAGUGUGGGUAUCAAACAGGAUUAGAUACCCGUGUAGUC
Molecule: ribosomal RNA, 460 nt
Filed under: uncultured bacterium
Lineage: Bacteria
Description: partial 16S ribosomal RNA
Rfam family: Bacterial small subunit ribosomal RNA
Source: RNAcentral